UACGGGGGGGCAAGCGUUGUUCGGAAUUACUGGGCGUAAAGGCUCGUAGGCGGCCAACUAAGUCAGACGUGAAAUCCCUCGGCUUAACCGGGGAACUGCAUCUGAUACUGGAUGGCUUGAGUUCGGGAGAGGGAUGCGGAAUUCCAGGUGUAGCGGUGAAAUGCGUAGAUAUCUGGAGGAACACCGGUGGCGAAGGCGGCGACCUGGGUAGACUACUGACGU
This 222-nucleotide ribosomal RNA is filed under the name uncultured bacterium. Its description in RNAcentral is "partial 16S ribosomal RNA". It matches the Rfam family "Bacterial small subunit ribosomal RNA", at positions 524 to 746 of the family's 1533-position model. The record is from RNAcentral.